GUAUAAAACGGUACAGGCUGGCUGCUGUGAUCCUUGGAGUCCUGUCUGUGCUACAAGCUGCUCUCAUCUUCUUUCUCUCUUUUCAGAGAGAGACGAGUUUAAGAGAACCAACUUUGGCAGAACACUAUAGUGACAAACAGGAGCAGAAAAAAACUAAAGAAGAGUGGAUAACAGGGACUUUGAUUCAUCAUGUGGACAGAUACAUUACUCUAAAUCAAUGUUAAUGAUGCUCUGUGUCUGUUGCAUAUCUAUGAAGGAAAUUGUUUUGAUAACACAUCAGCCAAUAACAACUUCACAAAGUCAUGGUUGUGUGUGUUAUCAUGUUCCAGAAGUCUUCCGCCCCCAAGUGGCCAGAAAAUGAAUAAAGGGAAAUUAAUGAAUUAACCAGUCACAUUUGUCAGCCAGUAAACUUUGAGUCCAGCACAACUUAGGUCCCAGGAUGCUAGAUGACAUAGGGGCUUAUUAGAACCUGUAAAAGGUAACUGUUUACAAGUAUUAAACUAACUACCUAUAAUUGAUAGAUGAAUGAACUAUGUAAAUGAUGUGUUAAAGUGAACUGUCUCUUUAGUCACGGACAGGGCAUUUACUCUCUAACUGAGAUGUUUUGGGACCAAUUGGGGGGAUUUGCCACUGCUUCAUGUCAACAGUUACCUUAAUAUAAUACUGUAUGAGGCGUUUUCUUUUGUGGGGUGCAAAUGUUUCACCAAAACAAGUUCCUUCCUGAGAUGAUUUUGGAGAGCCACAUUCGCUGCCUCCAGAGUUUAGCGCCACCCAAGACGAUUGUGAUUGGUUUAAAGAAAUGCAAACAACCCCUGACCAUGUGAUUGGUUUAAAGAAAUGCAAACAACCCCUGACCAUGUUUUUUCCUAUGUGUAGUGUAUGUGUGGAGGGGCCAGACCUUCCUCCACAGCGCUGUAGAGAUAGGUCUGGCAAUGUGAGACUAGGAUUGAUAUGAUAAUCAACUGUUGGUGGUUUGAAUUGAUCAGAUCAUUUUAGACUAUGAAGUGCAACUGGCUACUAUGCAGAUUAAAUAAAUGUAGAUCACUUAAUAAAUAGUAACAAAGUGCCACAUCAUAAUCCAGACUUCUUUUGACUAUGCAGUAACAUUCAAUGACACAGCAGUUUAAGUUGUGAUUGGUUUAAAGAAAUGCUAACAACCCCUGACCGUGUUUAUUCCUAUGUGUAGCGUAGAGUUCAGCUAGAUAUUUAGAAAUGAUGUUCGGGUUUGGGUCAGGCUCGGUCACAUCAGCAUCAUAAGGCAUUUGUUGUAAAAUGGUGCUAGGGCUCAGUGCGCGUGUCUCAAGUGGACAGAAGAGAGAUAGAGAAAGA
This is a long non-coding RNA of Perca flavescens (yellow perch), 1329 nucleotides long. RefSeq lists it as uncharacterized. Lineage: Eukaryota; Metazoa; Chordata; Actinopteri; Perciformes; Percidae. The transcript has 3 exons. The record is from RefSeq and is a predicted model, not a curated record.